GAUGAAGAACGCAGCGAAAUGCGAUAAGUAAUGUGAAUUGCAGAAUUCAGUGAAUCAUCGAAUCUUUGAACGCACAUUGCGCCCGCCAGUAUUCUGGCGGGCAUGCCUGUUCGAGCGUCAUUUCAACCAUCAAGCCCCCGGCUUGUGUUGGGGACCUGCGGCUGCCGCAGGCCCUGAAAAGCAGUGGCGGGCUCGCUGUCACACCGAGCGUAGUAGCAUACAUCUCGCUCUGGGCGUGCUGCGGGUUCCGGCCGUUAAACCACCUUCAUAACCCAAGGUUGACCUCGGAUCAGGUAGGAAGACCCGCUGAACUUAAGCAUCUCAAUAAGCGGAGGA
This 336-nucleotide unclassified non-coding RNA is filed under the name soil metagenome. RNAcentral describes it as "partial contains 5.8S ribosomal RNA, internal transcribed spacer 2, and large subunit ribosomal RNA". The stretch from base 1 to 120 matches the Rfam family "5.8S ribosomal RNA", at positions 35 to 154 of the family's 154-position model. The record is from RNAcentral.